RNAcentral lists this ribosomal RNA (253 nucleotides) under uncultured bacterium. RNAcentral describes it as "partial 16S ribosomal RNA". It matches the Rfam family "Bacterial small subunit ribosomal RNA", at positions 524 to 776 of the family's 1533-position model. The record is from RNAcentral.
UACAGAGGUCUCAAGCGUUGUUCGGAUUCAUUGGGCGUAAAGGGCGCGUAGGCGGCCAACUAAGUCGGAUGUGAAAUCCCCAGGCUCAACUUGGGAACUGCAUCCGAUACUGGUCGGCUUGAAUCCGGGAGAGGGAUGCAGAAUUCCAGGUGUAGCGGUGAAAUGCGUAGAUAUCUGGAGGAAUACCGGUGGCGAAGGCGGCAUCCUGGACCGGCAUUGACGCUGAUGUGCGAAGGCUAGGGGAGCAAACGGG